Molecule: small nuclear RNA, 107 nt
Organism: Vicugna pacos (alpaca)
Lineage: Eukaryota; Metazoa; Chordata; Mammalia; Artiodactyla; Camelidae
Source: RefSeq, a predicted model, not a curated record
GUGCUCACUUCGGCAGCACAUAUACUAAAAUUAGAAUGAUACAGAGAAGAUUAUCAUGACCCUUGUGGAAGGAUGACAUGCAAAUUCAUGAAGCGUUCCAUAAAAAU